ACAAUUCGAUGUCACCCCCUCCCUGACUAGCAUGUGGGCUCCCCAGGUUGGAGCCCCUUUCCCUCUCCCCUGCAUGUCCAUCGCAGGCUUCAAUGUGUCUGGCAGGCAGAUGAGAAAGCUGAAAUACUGCAAGUUGAAAUGACUCGUCCUAGAUCCCAGGUCUAGUGAAGAGUGAGCACCAGAAAUCACAUGUACUAGACUACCAGCAGUCAGAUAUAAUCAGCCCCCAAAUCUCCUGUGGUUCACUAUAUAUAAAAGAAAAAAAAAAAACAAGGAAUAUCCAACCAAAACAAGGUAAAUACACAGGAGGGUUCACUGGGCAAGAACAGAUGCAAACCAGAGAGAUUUUGAAGAGCCUGGGGUCUCUAGACAAUUCGGCACUGCUGUGGAUUUCAUGUUUGUAUCCCCUCUAAAUACAUAUGUUGAAGCCCGAGCCCCCAGUGUGAUGGUAUUUGGAGAUGGGGCCUUCGGGAGGUGAUAAGGUCAUUAAAGUGGAGCCCUCAUGAAUGACAUUAGUGCCUUACAAGAAGAAGCAGGAGACAGCUUGCUUCCUCU
Molecule: long non-coding RNA, 555 nt
Filed under: Homo sapiens (human)
Lineage: Eukaryota; Metazoa; Chordata; Mammalia; Primates; Hominidae
Description: non-protein coding lnc-PENK-1:1
Source: RNAcentral